RNAcentral lists this ribosomal RNA (253 nucleotides) under uncultured bacterium. RNAcentral's name for it is "partial 16S ribosomal RNA". It matches the Rfam family "Bacterial small subunit ribosomal RNA", at positions 524 to 776 of the family's 1533-position model. The record is from RNAcentral.
CACGUAGGGCGCAAGCGUUGUCCGGAAUUAUUGGGCGUAAAGAGCUCGUAGGCGGUCUGUUGCGUCCGCUGUGAAAACUCGGGGCUUAACCCCGAGCCUGCAGUGGAUACGGGCAGACUAGAGGUAGGUAGGGGAGAAUGGAAUUCCCGGUGUAGCGGUGAAAUGCGCAGAUAUCGGGAGGAACACCGGUGGCGAAGGCGGUUCUCUGGGCCGAUAUUGACGCUGAGGAGCGAAAGCGUGGGGAGCGAACAGG